This 294-nucleotide unclassified non-coding RNA is filed under the name fungal sp. RNAcentral's name for it is "partial internal transcribed spacer region". The stretch from base 1 to 46 matches the Rfam family "Eukaryotic small subunit ribosomal RNA", at positions 1786 to 1831 of the family's 1831-position model. The record is from RNAcentral. RNAcentral also lists the same sequence under 1 other name. Lineage: Eukaryota; Fungi.
AAGUCGUAACAAGGUUUCCGUAGGUGAACCUGCGGAAGGAUCAUUAACACAAUUUUACUGUGAUAAAUCCAUUGAAUUCUCGCGAAUUCGAUGGUAUCCACCCCAUUAUUGACGAACUUUUCUAGAUGUUAAAAACAUAGAGCUAGUCUCUUGGUUUUUAGCAUUCUAUACCUUUUUUCUUUACCCUAUAACAUUUUUUAACCCCUUUUACAACAUGCCUUAGACUGAAAUGAAAAUUUCUUUAUUAUCAAAAAUGAUAAAAAACAACUCUUAACAACGGAUAUCUUGGCUCUC